Molecule: ribosomal RNA, 486 nt
Filed under: uncultured bacterium
Lineage: Bacteria
Description: bacterial SSU rRNA
Rfam family: Bacterial small subunit ribosomal RNA
Source: RNAcentral
CAUGGUUGUCGUCAGCUCGUGUCGUGAGAUGUUGGGUUAAGUCCCGCAACGAGCGCAACCCCUGUUCUCAGUAGCCAUCACGUAGAGGUGGGCACUCUGAGGAGACUGCCGGGGAUAACCCGGAGGAAGGUGGGGAUGACGUCAAAUCAUCAUGCCCCUUAUGAUUUGGGCUACACACGUGCUACAAUGGCGUAAACAAAGGGAAGCGAGCCUGCGAGGGGGAGCAAAUCCCAGAAAUAACGUCCCAGUUCGGAUUGCAGUCUGCAACUCGACUGCAUGAAGCUGGAAUCGCUAGUAAUCGCGGAUCAGAAUGCCGCGGUGAAUACGUUCCCGGGUCUUGUACACACCGCCCGUCACACCAUGGGAGUUGGUAACGCCCGAAGUCAGUGACCUAACCGAAAGGGGGGAGCUGCCUAAGGCGGGACCGAUAACUGGGGUGAAGUCGUAACAAGGUAGCCGUAUCGGAAGGUGCGGCUGGAUCACCUC